AUGUUGGCACCUAACAGGGAAGCUCCUUCAUCCGAAACGGAGCCGGUUUGCAAAGGCGCCGCUCCUGAUCGGAGACAGGUGCCAACGUCUGACCGGCGCAACGCUCCCCGGAGCUUUUCUCCUUUCGGCCCUCGGCGGUGCUUGGCCUUAACCCGGCUCCUCGGGCUGUGGCUGCGACGUACGGGUUGCGAUCCUGCCCGGUGUUUGGGGGCUAAGGCCAUCGACAGCGGCAAUUUGAGAGGGGCCGGGCUGGAAAAUGAGCAAGUCCCAGGAAGGGGCCGGGAACGCUCACGUUUCGUGCUCCCGCUGAACAGCCGGGGGGGAAAACCUGCUCCCGACGGUGAGCCGGGCGCCUUCGGAGGGGCCUGCGGGGCCGCGCGAGACGUCCCCCCUCGCCCCGAGUGUGGCGGUUCACCGGGAGCGGCGGGGCCGCAAGCCCCUUCCCUCGCCUCGGCCCKCCGCGCGCCGGCCCGGGGCGCCAGCCGCUUCCCGCGGCCCCGCUCUCCCGCUCGUCAGCCGCCUUCCCGGCGUUUGCUGCUCACGCGCUCCGGUUUCGGGCUUUCCCGAGACCCAAGCGAUCCAGUGGGAAGCGGUUGCGAACCCGUUUGCCGUGUUUAUGUUUCCGCAGUUCAAGGACGGGGAAUUGCCGGGGCGCGCGCUUGGCCGGCCCCGCGGCACACACGCRCACCCGCCGCCUUGCCCCGUGACGCCCGCGCGGGGAGCGAAUCCGCGGCUACGAAAAUAACGUUUAUCCUUGGGAAGAAGGAAUGCUUAAGGUUAAUGACGGUGUUGCUGUUUCGAUGGCUAUCUUCCCGCGCGGUGUUUACAUCCCUCUCGGCGCAGAAGCGGGGCGGGAAGGGGGGCAACGGGAGCGCGGGAGCCGCUCCACCCCGCGCGCUAUUUACACCAAAUAAAUGUCCCCCGCGCGCCGGGCCGGCGCUGAUCUUAAAAGCCCGGGCAGGCGACCGCGGCGGAAGCGCUCCGGCGGCGCGCGUGCAGCUGGCGAGCCYGCGCAGAUGUUGCAGGUGGGGCUCGGCUUGUCCCGCCGCCCCGGCGAGGCGCCCGGCGCCUUGGGGUCGGCACCGCUGGGCCCCGAGGGCGACGGCGCGGGCGCCGCGCGGGGUGAGUGAGCGCCGGCAGGCUGGGUUUGGGUUUGGGUUUGGGUUUGGGUUUGGGUUUGGGGGGGGGGGGUGCAGCCCCCCUCUCCCGUGUCACGCUGCCCCGGGGGGACGUGUCCUCAGCCUGGGCGCCGUUAGCCAGCUGGGCUCGGGCUGCUGCACCCUCCCCAUUCGGCGCGUGGCAGGACGCCAAGGACGCAGCUGGCCUCUACCUCCACCCCAGCUACGUGUGCAAGGUGGAUUUGGAAAGUGCUGCAGCACUUCGAAGGGCAAAUAA
Molecule: long non-coding RNA, 1395 nt
Filed under: Apteryx haastii (Great spotted kiwi)
Lineage: Eukaryota; Metazoa; Chordata; Aves; Apterygiformes; Apterygidae
Description: lncRNA (ENSAHAG00000011421.1)
Source: RNAcentral